UGCCAGCGGUGUCCGAGCCGUUCUCGGUGCUGCUCCUGCCCAGCCCCGGAGCUGCUGCUUCUGCCAGGAGCUGGGAGCCGGGCUGGGGGUGACAGCACGCGUCACCAAACCCGCCCUGACUGCGGACACCACCGGCGUGCACAUGGAACACCUGCCCGAGCGCGCUCCUGACACCUGUGCCACACACUGUCACACAUCCCUGAGCUCUCCCUAGGACCUGCCGCUGUGGAACCUCUGCAAGGAACCUGCACGUACAGUCUGCAGAAUAAAAGAGAGAAAACUGUCAUGUGCAAACACGGCCAGGUUUGGAUACCCCUCGGGAGAGCAGAUGGAAAGAGCAUGUUGAGGUGCAGCCAGCGGUAUCAGUGACUCGUCUGGUGUUGGUGCCCAGAGCACUGCAAGAUCAUUUCCAUGGCUUCCUGGGGUCACCACAGCCCUUGGGUCUGGCUGUGGCACGACGGAGCCGAGUGCCUGUCCCGACAGCCAGAGGCACAGCCCCAGCCAGGGCCCCUCGAGCUGUGCUGUGUUCAGUCUAAACUCAUCAGGCCCUGGACACUUGCAUUUUCAUUUGUGUUUGAAACGGAAAUAGUUUUUAGGGAGAACUCUAGCAACAGAAAAGUUGCUUCCCAGGCACAGCUUUUGCUCCCUGGGCAUCACCUUCCACAGCAGAUGGUCCUGGCGGGCUGGAGAGCAGCCAAGGGGCUCAGGGCACCUCCCAGGUGUUGUAGCCUGGCCGGGGCUCUGCCUGGCAUGCAGGUCUGCCUGCUGCAAGCUCUGUCCAGAUAUGCUUCACCAUCCCUUUCAAGGCUGGGGGCUUGAGAGGGGUCAGUUCUGUUCAGAAAACCAGGCAGGCCUCAAUAACCUCUUCUGAAUGUCUUAAGGAACUGUCACAACUUUACUUGGGAAGUCAUAUCAGCUGCCUUGGGAGGAAAACCUGAAACCUGAUGAGGGAAUCCUGAAAUGAAUGUCACUUGUCUACUAGGUGACCUGAAUUGGAAACACCUCCCUUCUUGGCAGUGCCAGCUGAGGUAUUCCUUAUCCUAAACUCAGUUUCAGUCAGAAAAGACACAAGGUGAUGGGUUCGUUUUGUUUGGUUUUUUUUAGGUGAAGUCUAGCAAGAGUUUGCUACUUCUUCAGAACUGAAUGGUGUGGACAGACCUAAUGAUAAAGUGUGUUAACUUAUGUGGGUUAUAGGUAACACUGGAGUAAUUAAUUAAUCCUGCUAUAUUCAAAGACACACUUUGGAGCUUUGCUUUAUGCAAAAAUCCUCUUAUGUCCCAAAUGUCAAUAACCAAAUUACCUUCCACUAUAAGUUUUACCAAAUUACAGAAAAAUUAAUCAAAUCCUUAGGAAUUCUUGCUUAAAUCCUGAUGAAAGCACAGGUGGUGACAGCUGUUGGAACCAUAGCUUGAUUUCGAUCCUGUUUAUGCAGGAGGCAAUUAGUUCACCAGGCUGAUGCUGCUGGAGUUCUGCUGGCACAAUGUAAGCAACACCAGCUGUAGAAUCUUUAAUCGUUGGUAUUCAGUGCCUAGAGAGUAAUUCCUUGGGAGGUUUUUUCCAUGGUCACUUCCAAGUUCUUGCAGCCAGACCGAGCUUCCCUUCACUGAGGCCAGACUUGUUCCUGUGCACUUUUCUGAGGGCUGCUGCCAGGUACUGGUGACGGCUGCUUAGGGCUUGGACAUAACUCCAGAGCUCUCCCAGGAGGAACAGUCAGGACUGGUUUUCCUCCUUUUGUAUUGUAUUUAUUCACACCAAGCCUCACCUGUCCCUUUACCUGCCAUUUUCCACCAUUGUGAGGCUUCCCCCUGGCAGUGUCACCUCGUGGCUCACUGCCUCCUCCAAAUGGUGCACGGACAAGAUCUGGCACAGCCGUGUGGGGAGCUGGUAUUUGCUGUCAGGGACUCCAGCAGAACGUUCCUGUGGCAGGGGGGAGCUGCAGGCAGAGUCGAUUGUGGUGACAGCCCCAUGAUUCAGUUGCACAGGUCAGGCUGUCACUGCUGUCCCUGGGACUCACAUCCCCACCCAGUUCCUCUGCUCGUGUGUCCAGCAGCGGGGCUGGGAGGUGGCAGGGGCAAGGACCCUCCAGGGAGAGCCAGCCCAUGCCAGGGGAUCCCAGCUGAUCCAGCAUGGCCGAGCACACCACAAACCACGGAGCAGCUGCCACGCACUCGUGUGUUAGCACAGCUCCUCAGUGGAGGUUUUGCAAAAUAUUUAUUGCAAAAUAAAAGAAAUAUGGCAACAAAACUUAAAUAGCAAAUGACAAGA
This is a non-coding RNA of Cyanistes caeruleus (blue tit), 2265 nucleotides long. The record is from RefSeq and is a predicted model, not a curated record. NCBI's taxonomy places the organism in Eukaryota, Metazoa, Chordata, Aves, Passeriformes, Paridae.